GGGCUGGGGCUCAGGGGUAGAGUGCUUGCCUGGCAUGUAUGAGGCACUGGGUUCAAUCCUCAGCACCACA
RNAcentral lists this transfer RNA (70 nucleotides) under Marmota monax (woodchuck). RNAcentral describes it as "tRNA.Ala". The record is from RNAcentral. Lineage: Eukaryota; Metazoa; Chordata; Mammalia; Rodentia; Sciuridae.